UCCGGUUUAUCACCGACAGUUUCCUUAGGGUUCUCGACUUGACUCGUUAGCAACUAAGGACAAGGGUCGCGCUCGUUGCGGGACUUAACCCAACACCUCUCGGCACGAGCAGACGACAGCCAUGCACCACCUGCGCAUAAGUCCCUUGCGGGAGGUUCUGGCUUUCACCAAAAUUUCCUAUGCAUGUCAAACCCAGGUAAGGUUCUUCGCGUUGCCUCGAAUUAAACCACACGCUCCGCUGCUUGUGCGGGCCCCCGCCUAUUCCUUUGAGUUUUAGCCUUGCAGCCGUACUCCCCAGGCGGACCACUUAGUGCGUUAGCUACGGCACGGGAGGGGUCGAUACCCCCCGCACCUAGUGGUCACCGUUUAGGGCGUGGACUAC
This 382-nucleotide unclassified non-coding RNA is filed under the name uncultured bacterium. RNAcentral's name for it is "contains 16S-23S intergenic spacer region". The record is from RNAcentral.